GACGAACGCUGGCGGCGUGCCUAAUACAUGCAAGUCGAGCGGACUGACUGGGAGCUUGCUCUUGUUCGGUCAGCGGCGGACGGGUGAGUAACACGUGGGCAACCUGCCCGCAAGACCGGGAUAACUCCGGGAAACCGGAGCUAAUACCGGAUAACACCGAAGACCGCAUGGUCUUUGGUUGAAAGGCGGCGCAAGCUGCCACUUGCGGAUGGGCCCGCGGCGCAUUAGCUAGUUGGUGAGGUAACGGCUCACCAAGGCGACGAUGCGUAGCCGGCCUGAGAGGGUGACCGGCCACACUGGGACUGAGACACGGCCCAGACUCCUACGGGAGGCAGCAGUAGGGAAUCUUCCGCAAUGGGCGAAAGCCUGACGGAGCGACGCCGCGGGAGCGAAGAAGGCCUUCGGGUCGUAAAGCUCUGUUGUGAGGGACGAAGGAGCGCCGUUUGAAGAAGGCGGCGCGGUGACGGUACCUCACGAGGAAGCCCCGGCUAACUACGUG
RNAcentral lists this ribosomal RNA (499 nucleotides) under uncultured bacterium. RNAcentral describes it as "partial 16S ribosomal RNA". It matches the Rfam family "Bacterial small subunit ribosomal RNA", at positions 28 to 507 of the family's 1533-position model. The record is from RNAcentral.